RNAcentral lists this long non-coding RNA (2126 nucleotides) under Malus domestica (apple). RNAcentral's name for it is "long non-coding RNA (MDOM_LNC004959)". The record is from RNAcentral. Lineage: Eukaryota; Viridiplantae; Streptophyta; Magnoliopsida; Rosales; Rosaceae.
UUCCAGCCCAUGAUUAGUUGUCCUAAGUCUAUUGGGAAUUAAUAGUCUUAGAGGAUUAAAUUGUUUUCCCAAUUGGAGUUGCUUUCCCAAUUGGAGUUAUUUACCCAAUUGGAGUUAGUUUCCCAAUUGGAGUAGGUUUUAUAACUAGUUUCCAAUUAGGAUUAAUAAUCCUUAUUGAAGAAGACCUUUAUUAUGUCUAUAUAAAUGGGCUAUUGUACUAGUUUUAGGAAGGGAGCAAAACAAUAAAUUGUAUACCACUCAAGGGAUUAGAGUGAGAGAAUAUUGUAAAGUGUGUGCGAGAGAAAAGAAAAGAGAUAGUGUAUUUCUUGUUCUUGUUCUUUCAGGUUUUUCGUCAAGUCCUAGUUCUAGAGAUUUGGCAAGAUUAUUGGUUGUACUCAUUAUUGAUAUAGUGAAAGAUUGUUAUUGCUGUCCCGUGGACGUAGGCACAUAUUCCUGAACCACGUAAUUUCUUGGUGUUAUUUAUCUUGGUUAUUUGUUUUUCCCAUUCUUAAACGCGAUAUUCUCAACAAGUGGUAUCAGAGCCUGGUUCGGCUGAUAUCCGUUUAGAAUGGAGGGUUCAAUUAUGAUGAAACUCACCCGCUCCAAUUGGGUUACGUGGAAAUCAAGAAUGGAGGACAUGCUUUAUUGUAAAGAUCUCCAUGAGCCAAUUGAAGGUGUUAAGAGCAAGCCAGAAAAUAUGUCUGAUGCCAAUUGGACCAAGAUGAAUCGUAAAACUAUUGGUACGAUUAGACAAUGGGUGGACGAGAGCAUCUAUCACCAUGUGUCUAAAGAAACUGAUGCGCAAGCUCUUUGGAAGAAGUUAGAAUCCCUCUUUAAGAAGAAGACCGCUGCCAAUAAAGCAUUCCUUAUCAAAGAGCUUGUCAACAUGAAGUAUGCGGAAGAUGUUAGUGUAACCGAGCACUUGAACAACUUUCAGAACGUGAUCAAUCAGGUAGCCACUAUGGGUUUGAAUAUUGAAGAAUAGCUGCUAGCACUUUUAUUGCUAGGAUCCUUGCCAGAUAGUUGGGAAACCUUCGUCGUAACUGUAAGCAAUUCGGCUUCUAAUGGUGUAUUGUCUAUGGAUGUCGUUAAGGAUAGCAUGUUUAAUGAAGAAACAAGGAGAAAAGCUUCAGGUGCAAGCGCUGGACAACUCUUUGUCAGUGAGAAAAGAGGCAAAAGUUCUGAUGAGACGAGAUUCAAUGGCGACUGCCACUAUUGUGGGAAAAAGGGUCACAUGAAGAAGCAUUGUCGUAAAUGGAAAAAGGAACAAAAGGAUGGGAACAAUAUUGCAAGUGUUGUGACUUACGAUGAAGAGCUUCUUUAAUGCAGAUGAUUGAUGGUUUUCUAGCAAAGAAGUCUAUAGUUGCCUUUGCCAAUGAUGAUGAUAGUUCUGAUCAGGGGGAGCCUGGUCAAGAUAAAUCUAAUCAAGAGGGUCUUGGUUAAUGAGUAGUUCAAUCAAAGGGAGCUUGGUUAUGGGUAAUUCGAUCAGGGGGAGUCUGGUCAUGAAAAGUUCUAACAAUGGGAGUUUGGUCAAGAGGAGCAAUCCUAUUAUGGUAUACCUUCCUCAUGGUCUGGAGGGGGAGAUUGUUGGGUUUUUUCCAGCCCAUGAUUAGUUGUCCUAAGUCUAUUGGGAAUUAAUAGUCUUAGAGGAUUAAAUUGUUUUCCCAAUUGGAGUUGCUUUCCCAAUUGGAGUUGUUUACCCAAUUGGAGUUAGUUUCCCAAUUGGAGUAGGUUUUAUAACUAGUUUCCAAUUAGGAUUAAUAAUCCUUACUGAAGAAGACCUUUAUUAUGUCUAUAUAAAUGGGCUAUUGUACUAGUUUUAGGAAGGGAGCAAAACAAUAAAUUGUAUACCACUUAAGGGAUUAGAGUGAGAGAAUAUUGUAAAGUGUGUGCGAGAGAAAAAAAAAAGAUAUAGUGUAUUUAUUGUUCUUGUUCUUUCAGGUUUUUCGUCAAGUUCUAGUUCUAGAGAUUUGGCAAGAUUAUUAGUUGUACUCAUUAUUGAUAAAGUGAAAUAUUGUUGUUGUUGUCCCGUGGACGUAGGCACAAAUUGCUGAACCACGUAAUUUCUUGGUGUUAUUUAUCUUGGUUAUUUGUUUUUCCCAUUCUUAAACGCGAUAUUCUCAACA